RNAcentral lists this unclassified non-coding RNA (517 nucleotides) under uncultured Glomeromycotina. RNAcentral describes it as "SSU rRNA". It matches the Rfam family "Eukaryotic small subunit ribosomal RNA", at positions 571 to 1092 of the family's 1831-position model. Lineage: Eukaryota; Fungi; Glomeromycota. The record is from RNAcentral.
CAGCCGCGUAAUUCCAGCUCCAAUAGCGUAUAUUAAAGUUGUUGCAGUUAAAAAGCUCGUAGUUGAAUUUCGGGACUAAUAUGUCGGUCGUACUUUGUACGUACUAGCAUUAUUGGUUUCUCCCUUCUGACGAACCACGAUGUCAUUAAUUUGGUGUCGCGGGAAAUCAGGACUGUUACUUUGAAAAAAUUAGAGUGUUUAAAGCAAGCUCGCGCUUGAAUACAUUAGCAUGGAAUAAUGAAAUAGGACGUUUGAUUCUAUUUUGUUGGUUUCUAGGAUCGACGUAAUGAUUAAUAGGGAUAGUUGGGGGCAUUAGUAUUCAAUUGUCAGAGGUGAAAUUCUUGGAUUUAUUGAAGACUAACUACUGCGAAAGCAUUUGCCAAGGAUGUUUUCAUUAAUCAAGAACGAAAGUUAGGGGAUCGAAGACGAUCAGAUACCGUCGUAGUCUUAACCAUAAACUAUGCCGACUAGGGAUCGGAUGAUGUUAAUUUUUUAAUGACUCAUUCGGCGCCUUACG